RNAcentral lists this ribosomal RNA (636 nucleotides) under Trichosporon sp. HP-2118. Its description in RNAcentral is "LSU rRNA". It matches the Rfam family "Eukaryotic large subunit ribosomal RNA", at positions 1 to 611 of the family's 3401-position model. The record is from RNAcentral. Lineage: Eukaryota; Fungi; Basidiomycota; Tremellomycetes; Trichosporonales; Trichosporonaceae.
CUGGCCUCAAAUCAGGUAGGACUACCCGCUGAACUUAAGCAUAUCAAUAAGCGGAGGAAAAGAAACUAACAAGGAUUCCCUUAGUAACGGCGAGUGAACCGGGAAGAGCUCAAAUUUGAAAUCUGGCUGUCUUCGAUAGUCCGAGUUGUAAUCUAUAGAAGCGUUUUCCGUGCUGAACUGUGUCUAAGUCCUCUGGAACGAGGUAUCAAAGAGGGUGACAAUCCCGUACUUGACACAAUCAUCAGUGCUCUGUGAUACGUUCUCUACGAGUCGAGUUGUUUGGGAAUGCAGCUCAAAAUGGGUGGUAAAUUCCAUCUAAAGCUAAAUAUUGGCGAGAGACCGAUAGCGAACAAGUACCGUGAGGGAAAGAUGAAAAGCACUUUGGAAAGAGAGUUAAACAGUACGUGAAAUUGUUAAAAGGGAAACGAUUGAAGUCAGUCGUGUUUAUUGGAUUCAGCCGGUCUUCGGUGUACUUCCUUUAAACGGGUCAACAUCAGUUUUGUUCGGUGGAUAAAGGCAGUAGGAAUGUGGCUCCCUCGGGAGUGUUAUAGCCUAUUGUCACAUACACUGGAGGAGACUGAGGACUGCAGCUCGCCUUUUUGGCCGGGGUUCGCCCACGUUCGAGCUAGGACUGCG